Molecule: long non-coding RNA, 141 nt
Organism: Dipodomys spectabilis (banner-tailed kangaroo rat)
Lineage: Eukaryota; Metazoa; Chordata; Mammalia; Rodentia; Heteromyidae
Exons: 3
Source: RefSeq, a predicted model, not a curated record
AUUAUUCCUAGCUGUGGUAUCCAGGCAGCUCGGGCCUGCUUUGAACACUCUAAUUUUUUCAAAGUAAACGCUUCGGGCCCCGCGGGACACUCAGCUAAGAGCAUCGAGGGGACGCCGAGAUGCAAGGGGCGGAGAUCGCAA